UGAGGAAUAUUGCGCAAUGGGGGCAACCCUGACGCAGCGACGCCGCGUGAGUGAGGAAGGCCUUCGGGUCGUAAAGCUCUGUCAAAGGGAAAGAAGUGCAUGGUGGCUAAUACCUGCCAUGUUUGACGGUACCCUUAAAGGAAGCACCGGCUAACUCCGUGCCAGCAGCCGCGGUAAUACGGAGGGUGCAAGCGUUGUUCGGAAUCACUGGGCGUAAAGGGCGGGUAGGCGGUUUGAUAAGGCAGAUGUGAAAGCCCACGGCUUAACUGUGGAAGUGCAGUUGAAACUUGCAGACUGGAGUAUCAGAGGGGAAAGUGGAAUUCCCGGUGUAGAGGUGAAAUUCGUAGAUAUCGGGAGGAAUACCGGUGGCGAAGGCGACUUUCUGGCUGAAUACUGACGCUGAGGCGCGAAAGCGUGGGGAGCAAACA
Molecule: ribosomal RNA, 428 nt
Filed under: uncultured prokaryote
Description: bacterial SSU rRNA
Rfam family: Bacterial small subunit ribosomal RNA
Source: RNAcentral